GAGAAAGCAUUGAAGGAGAGAGUAUAAAAGCAAGAGGCUGGUUUAGCGAGUCAGGACGUGGUGAGAGCCUGAUGCAGUUAGCUUUUAGAAAAUCACUCUUGAGUUGUCAUUAUGAAAUAGUAGUAAUAAUAAUGACCGGUUUAUUCCCGUUAUGGAUAUCGAGUGAAUAUGGCAGUUUCCCAUAUUUAUAAGGGUGGUACCGCGAGUCUUCUCGUCCCUUGA
This 222-nucleotide non-coding RNA is filed under the name Virgibacillus pantothenticus. RNAcentral describes it as "T-box sequence". It matches the Rfam family "T-box leader". Rfam says of the family: Uncharged tRNA acts as the effector for transcription antitermination of genes in the T-box leader family. T-boxes are found upstream of many aminoacyl-tRNA synthetase genes and some amino acid biosynthetic genes usually in Gram-positive bacteria. The anticodon of a specific tRNA base pairs to a specifier sequence within the T-box motif, and the NCCA acceptor tail of the tRNA base pairs to a conserved bulge in the T-box antiterminator hairpin. Lineage: Bacteria; Bacillati; Bacillota; Bacilli; Caryophanales; Bacillaceae. The record is from RNAcentral.